Molecule: ribosomal RNA, 468 nt
Filed under: uncultured bacterium
Lineage: Bacteria
Description: partial 16S ribosomal RNA
Rfam family: Bacterial small subunit ribosomal RNA
Source: RNAcentral
GACGAACGCUGGCGGCGUGCUUAACACAUGCAAGUCGAACGGAAAGGCCCUGCUUUUGUGGGGUGCUCGAGUGGCGAACGGGUGAGUAACCCGUGAGUCACCUGCCCUUGACUUUGGGAUAACUUCAGGAAACUGGGGCUAAUACCGGCUAGGAGCUCCUGCUGCAUGGUGGGGGUUGGACAGUUUCGGCGGUUGGGGAUGGACUCGCGGCUUAUCAGCUUGUUGGUGGGGUAGUGGCUUACCAAGGCUUUGACGGGUAGCCGGCCUGAGAGGGUGACCAGCCACAUUGGGACUGAGAUACGGCGCAGAGUCCUACGGGAGGCAGCAGUGGGGAAUAUUGCACAAUGGGCGGAAGCCUGAUGCAGCAACGCCGCGUGCGGGAUGACGGCCUUCGGGUGGUAAACCGCUUUCGCCUGUGACGAAGCGUGAGUGACGGUAAUGGGUAAAGAAGCACCGGCUAACUACGUG